AUGAACGCUGGCGGCGUGCCUAAUCCCUGCAAGUCGCGCGAACAGACGAGGAGCUUGCUCCUCUGACGUUAGCGGCGGACGGGUGAGUAACACGUGGAUAACCUACCUAUAAGACUGGGAUAACUUCGGGAAACCGGAGCUAAUACCGGAUAACAUGUUGAACCGCAUGGUUUAACAGUGAAAGACGGUCUUGCUGUCACUUAUAGAUGGAUCCGCGCCGCAUUAGCUAGUUGGUAAGGUAACGGCUUACCAAGGCAACGAUGCGUAGCCGACCUGAGAGGGUGAUCGGCCACACUGGAACUGAGACACGGUCCAGACUCCUACGGGAGGCAGCAGUAGGGAAUCUUCCGCAAUGGGCGAAAGCCUGACGGAGCAACGCCGCGUGAGUGAAGAAGGUCUUCGGAUCGUAAAACUCUGUUAUUAGGGAAGAACAAAUGUGUAAGUAACUAUGCACGUCUUGACGGUACCUAAUCAGAAAGCCACGGCUAACUACGUG
RNAcentral lists this ribosomal RNA (496 nucleotides) under uncultured bacterium. RNAcentral's name for it is "partial 16S ribosomal RNA". It matches the Rfam family "Bacterial small subunit ribosomal RNA", at positions 29 to 507 of the family's 1533-position model. The record is from RNAcentral.